Molecule: small nuclear RNA, 107 nt
Organism: Heterocephalus glaber (naked mole-rat)
Lineage: Eukaryota; Metazoa; Chordata; Mammalia; Rodentia; Bathyergidae
Source: Ensembl
GUGCUCGCUUCGGCAGCACAUAUACUAAAAUUGGAAUGAUACAGAGAAGAUUAGCAUGGCCCCUGCACAAGGAUGGCAUGCAAAUUCAUGAAGCAUUCCAUAUUUUU